AUGCAUGGGGAAUGGUCGGGAUAGCUCA
This 28-nucleotide transfer RNA is filed under the name Hydrangea macrophylla. RNAcentral describes it as "partial tRNA-Phe". The record is from RNAcentral. Lineage: Eukaryota; Viridiplantae; Streptophyta; Magnoliopsida; Cornales; Hydrangeaceae.